RNAcentral lists this ribosomal RNA (316 nucleotides) under uncultured Pseudomonadota bacterium. Its description in RNAcentral is "bacterial SSU rRNA". It matches the Rfam family "Bacterial small subunit ribosomal RNA", at positions 30 to 351 of the family's 1533-position model. The record is from RNAcentral. Lineage: Bacteria; Pseudomonadati; Pseudomonadota.
AUUGAACGCUGGCGGAAUGCUUUACACAUGCAAGUCGAACGGCAGCACGGGAGCUUGCUCCUGGUGGCGAGUGGCGAACGGGUGAGUAAUGCGUCGGAACGUACCGAGUAAUGGGGGAUAACGCAGCGAAAGUGUGCUAAUACCGCAUACGCCCUGAGGGGAAAGUGGGGAUCGCAAGACCUCACGUUAUUCGAGCGGCCGACGUCUGAUUAGCUAGUUGGUGGGGUAAUGGCUCACCAAGGCGACGAUCAGUAGCGGGUCUGAGAGGAUGAUCCGCACACUGGACUGAGACACGGCCAGACACCUACGGUGGCUG